This 509-nucleotide ribosomal RNA is filed under the name uncultured Glomus. RNAcentral's name for it is "SSU rRNA". It matches the Rfam family "Eukaryotic small subunit ribosomal RNA", at positions 569 to 1079 of the family's 1831-position model. The record is from RNAcentral. Lineage: Eukaryota; Fungi; Glomeromycota; Glomeromycetes; Glomerales; Glomeraceae.
AGCAGCCGCGGUAAUUCCAGCUCCAAUAGCGUAUAUUAAAGUUGUUGCAGUUAAAAAGCUCGUAGUUGAAUUUCGGGGUUAGCAGGUCGGUCGUGCCAUCGGUAUGAACUGGUCUCGCUGAUCCCUCCCUCUUGACGAACUGUGAUGCCAUUAAUUUGGUGUCGCAGGGAAUCAGGACUGUUACUUUGAAAAAAUUAGAGUGUUUAAAGCAGGCUCACGCUUGAAUACAUUAGCAUGGAAUAAUGAAAUAGGACGUUUGAUCCUAUUUUGUUGGCUUCUAGGAUUGACGUAAUGAUUAAUAGGGAUAGUUGGGGGCAUUAGUAUUCAAUUGUCAGAGGUGAAAUUCUUGGAUUUAUUGAAGACUAACUACUGCGAAAGCAUUUGCCAAGGAUGUUUUCAUUAAUCAAGAACGAAAGUUAGGGGAUCGAAGACGAUCAGAUACCGUCGUAGUCUUAACCAUAAACUAUGCCGACUAGGGAUCGGAUGAUGUUAAUUUUUAAUGACUCUAA